This 253-nucleotide ribosomal RNA is filed under the name uncultured bacterium. Its description in RNAcentral is "partial 16S ribosomal RNA". It matches the Rfam family "Bacterial small subunit ribosomal RNA", at positions 524 to 776 of the family's 1533-position model. The record is from RNAcentral.
UACGGAGGGGGCGAGCGUUAUUCGGAAUUAUUGGGAGUAAAGGGCGCGUAGGCGGCUUGAUGAGUCAAAGGUGAAAUCCCUCGGCUCAACUGAGGAACUGCCUUUGAAACUGUCUGGCUUGAGGCCGGGAGAGGGUAGCGGAAUUCCCAGUGUAGCGGUGAAAUGCGUAGAUACUGGGAGGAACACCGGUGGCGAAGGCGGCUACCUGGACCGGAACUGACGCUGAGGCGCGAAAGCGUGGGUAGCAAACAGG